RNAcentral lists this ribosomal RNA (372 nucleotides) under uncultured organism. Its description in RNAcentral is "bacterial SSU rRNA". It matches the Rfam family "Bacterial small subunit ribosomal RNA", at positions 526 to 896 of the family's 1533-position model. The record is from RNAcentral.
CAGAGGGUGCAAGCGUUGUUCGGAAUUACUGGGCGUAAAGGGCGUGUAGGCGGUUUAACAAGUCAGAUGUGAAAUCCCGGGGCUUAACUCCGGAAGUGCAUUUGAAACUGUUAGGCUAGAGUACUGUAGAGGUUGGCGGAAUACCCAGUGGAGAGGUGAAAUUCGUAGAUAUUGGGUGGAACACCGGUGGCGAAGGCGGCCAACUGGGCAGUAACUGACGCUGAGGCGCGAGAGCGUGGGGAGCAAACAGGAUUAGAUACCCUGGUAGUCCACGCUGUAAACUAUGGAUACUCGCUGUGGCUGGUAUUGACCCCGGCCGUAGCCAAGUUAACACGUUAAGUAUCCCGCCUGGGGAGUACGGUCGCAAGAUUA